AGGACGAACGCUGGCGGCGUGCUUAACACAUGCAAGUCGAACGGUGACCCUCGGAGCUUGCUUCGGGGUGAUCAGUGGCGAACGGGUGAGUAACACGUGAGUAACCUGCCCCAGACUCUGGGAUAACCCCGGGAACCGGAGCUAAUACCGGAUACGACACGGAGAGGCAUCUCUACCGUGUGGAAAGUUUUUCGGUCUGGGAUGGACUCGCGGCCUAUCAGCUUGUUGGUGAGGUAAUGGCUCACCAAGGCGACGACGGGUAGCCGGCCUGAGAGGGCGACCGGCCACACUGGGACUGAGACACGGCCCAGACUCCUACGGGAGGCAGCAGUGGGGAAUAUUGCACAAUGGGCGAAAGCCUGAUGCAGCGACGCCGCGUGAGGGAUGAAGGCCUUCGGGUUGUAAACCUCUUUCAGCAGGGAAGAAGCGAAGUGACGGUACCUGCAGAAGAAGCACCGGCUAACUACGUGCCAGCAGCCGCGGU
RNAcentral lists this ribosomal RNA (484 nucleotides) under uncultured bacterium. Its description in RNAcentral is "SSU rRNA". It matches the Rfam family "Bacterial small subunit ribosomal RNA", at positions 26 to 521 of the family's 1533-position model. The record is from RNAcentral.